RNAcentral lists this small nuclear RNA (108 nucleotides) under Myotis brandtii (Brandt's bat). Lineage: Eukaryota; Metazoa; Chordata; Mammalia; Chiroptera; Vespertilionidae. The record is from RNAcentral.
GUGCUUACUUCAGCAGCACAUAUACUAAAAUUGGAAUGAUAACAGAGAAGAUUAGCAUGGCCCCUGUACAAGGAUGACACACAAAUUCAUGAAACGUUCCAUUUUUUU